UGGAUCCAGACUUUGAUUAUGGCUCAGGAUGAACGCUAGCUACAGGCUUAACACAUGCAAGUCGAGGGGCAGCAUGGACUCAGCUUUGCUGAGUUUGAUGGCGACCGGCGCACGGGUGAGUAACGCGUAUCCAACCUGCCCUUUACUCCGGGAUAGUCUCCUGAAAGGGAGUUUAAUACCGGAUGUGUUUGUUUUUCCGCAUGGGAGCGACAAAUAAAGAUUAAUUGGUAAAGGAUGGGGAUGCGUCCCAUUAGCUUGUUGGCGGGGUAACGGCCCACCAAGGCAACGAUGGGUAGGGGUUCUGAGAGGAAGGUCCCCCACAUUGGAACUGAGACACGGUCCAAACUCCUACGGGAGGCAGCAGCGAGGAAUAUUGGUCAAUGGGCAAGAGCCUGAACCAGCCAAGUAGCGUGAAGGACGACGGCCCUACGGGUUGUAAACUUCUUUUAUAAGGGAAUAAAGUUCGCCACGUGUGGUGUUUUGUAUGUACCUUAUGAAUAAGCAUCGGCUAAUUCCGUGCCAGCAGCCGCGGUAAUACGGAAGAUGCGAGCGUUAUCCGGAUUUAUUGGGUUUAAAGGGAGCGUAGGCGGGCUUUUAAGUCAGCGGUCAAAUGCCACGGCUCAACCGUGGCCAGCCGUUGAAACUGUAGGCCUUGAGUCUGCACAGGGCACAUGGAAUUCGUGGUGUAGCGGUGAAAUGCUUAGAUAUCACGAAGAACUCCGAUCGCGAGGGCAUUGUGCCGGGGCAGCACUGACGCUGAGGCUCGAAAGUGCGGGUAUCAAACAGGAUUAGAUACCCUGGUAGUCCGCACGGUAAACGAUGAAUGCUCGCUAUGGGCGAUAUAUUGUCCGUGGCCAAGCGAAAGCGUUAAGCAUUCCACCUGGGGAGUACGCCGGCAACGGUGCAACUCAAAGGAAUUGACGGA
RNAcentral lists this ribosomal RNA (925 nucleotides) under uncultured Bacteroidota bacterium. Its description in RNAcentral is "bacterial SSU rRNA". It matches the Rfam family "Bacterial small subunit ribosomal RNA", at positions 1 to 917 of the family's 1533-position model. The record is from RNAcentral. Lineage: Bacteria; Pseudomonadati; Bacteroidota.